AAAACACUUUCAUCACAAUGCAAAGAAUGAGCUCGGAGAUGAUACUUUGCAAAUGUCUAUUUUCCACAACGAGGCCCAGCCAUCACUCCGGCUGGUGCCUGGGAGAAUUCACUGGAGGUCCGACCGAACGGCCCCGGGAUCUAGAGUCCGGGGUCCAGAUUCCAGGGUCAAGAGUCCAGGGUCCAGGGUCAAGGGUCCAGGGUCAAGAGUCCAUGUCCAGAGUCCAGGUCCAGAGCCAAAAUCUUCCUGAGAUAUUUCAGCAAUAUCUAGAUUAAUUCAUAUUGUUUUUGUGGCCAUAUCAUUCCAUGGCUGAUACAGUGUAUACUAUGAAAAUAGGCUCGUGGUGUAGCCUGUAACUUGGACGGUUGCCUUGCCAACACAAACUGACUCACUUCUUGGAAUAUUUCAAUUUGCAACAAUAAAUCAGG
Molecule: long non-coding RNA, 428 nt
Organism: Oncorhynchus tshawytscha (Chinook salmon)
Lineage: Eukaryota; Metazoa; Chordata; Actinopteri; Salmoniformes; Salmonidae
Source: Ensembl